RNAcentral lists this microRNA (25 nucleotides) under Homo sapiens (human). RNAcentral describes it as "hsa-miR-6775-5p". Lineage: Eukaryota; Metazoa; Chordata; Mammalia; Primates; Hominidae. The record is from miRBase by way of RNAcentral.
UCGGGGCAUGGGGGAGGGAGGCUGG